Long non-coding RNA from Nasonia vitripennis (jewel wasp), 3395 nucleotides. RefSeq lists it as uncharacterized. Lineage: Eukaryota; Metazoa; Arthropoda; Insecta; Hymenoptera; Pteromalidae. The transcript has 2 exons. The record is from RefSeq and is a predicted model, not a curated record.
UGCUUUCGCUGAUCUCUUCGGAGGUGCUCGGCCAAGAGAACACUGCAGCGUUGUAUAGCUGUAUAUACGAUAGUGCGGGAUGUCGUAUGCUGUGCGCGAACCCUUUGUAUUUUUUUUUUCUUGCAAUGUUUAUUUGGAGCCGCUCGCGCUUUCUUUUUUUGCAGCCCGUAUAGCGUUUCGGGGAAAGUUCGAGCUUGAAAUUUUAGUUCGCUUGCGCGCCCGGCGCGAUGCCGCGGUGUUUUUAUUAUUAAGCUUGCGAGGAGCAGGAAAAUCUGGAGGGAAAUACUUGGGGAUGGAGUUUGGAGUGUAAGGAGUUGUUUGAAUAUAAUUUUUGUUUUAUCCGUGUACGUCGGGUGAGCUCCGGGGAAGGUCUCGAAACAAGGCAACCAAUGAGAUUUGUUUAAAAAUGCGCCGGUCGUCAGGAAGAAAAAAUUGUUUCAAUAACGCUUAGAAAUUAUCGGCCGAUUGAUAUAGUUUGAAAUAUCAGUCUCGGUAUUAUUUAAAAAAUGUAUCUUUAUUCGAACAUCGUGAAUCUCUUCCUUGACUCUUCCCCUAAUAACUUACAGAUCCGCAGGUGGUUGGUCGGUUCCGAAAAGACAUAGGCUAGCGAACUUGUCCAAACAUUGGUAUAUUCCGCCCACUAGAUCACGGGACUUGACCACCUGAAAAGAAAACACACAUCGAUCACGUUCAUCAAAUCUCUGUUGCUGCAGUAGGAUAAAGUUCUCACGUAGAAUUCGUCGCUCGGAUCGGCGAAUCUCAGGGCGUUGCUCAACACCUCAGCCGCUUCUUCGAUGAGCUUCUGGCGCUCGAGGGGCUUGGCAAUCUUCGCGUCCAGCAUUCCCUGGUACAGCGGGAACUUGACUUUUCCGGCGUGAAACGCCUUGACCAACUCCUUAAUAUUCCUCGUGUUCGCUUCGGAGAGCAACAGAUUCAAAAAGGUGACUCCGCUUUCGCCUAUCUUGGUUACACACUCAUCGCAUUCAACCCCUGGGAGCAGCGAGGAAGACAGUCAUCGUAUGUGCUACGCUGGUUUCUAUCCUCGAAAGGAUUUUGGCCGAUACAUAUUCCAGUUUGUCUUUUCUGCAGCGCCGAGAGUUUGGCCAGAUGUUCGAUAAACAGUUUCUCUGUGCAAGGAUCCUUCCACCAUCCCUUCGUAUCCUGGAAUCCAAAGUUAAUAGCGCCGAAAUCAAGCAGCAGUUUCAAGCUCGUCAAGCGGUCGUUACGAUAAGUCCCGUAGAAAUUAGAGGUAAAAGCGUAAAACAGCGGCGAAUAGCCUAACUUAUCCGAGGCGUUGACAUCAGCACCGGGACUCAACAACCUACGAACCGAAUCGACGUUAUGGUAUACACAAGAUGCAUGCAAAGACGAAUGCGUUCGUUCGUUUGCUUGAAGUAUCGCCAGCAACGUGGGGUCAGCCUUGCGGUUGGCUUUGUCUACAGCACUGCAGUAUGCCUGGUAGGCGUUCUCACCUAAUGCGUUCGUCUAGGUUAAAGUUAAACCUUCGAUAGCAAGUUCAGUUCGGGCGGCCAAAUCGAGUGGAUCUUCUAUGCUUUUGGCGAUGACCUCGCUGCCUUUCUUGACUAAGAGAUCGACGAUUUUCUGGACUGCCGGCACAUCGUGGCUGCGGCUCGCCACGAACAAGUGUAGUACGGCGUUGCCGUCUCGCGGAGUACUCUGGCUUGAACGUCGGCUCCGUAUUUCAGAAGCAACUCGAUCUGCUUGUCGGAGCAUCCUCGGUUUUGGACAGCCAAGUGAAGAGGCGUCUCGCCGUCCGAGUUACGCCAGUUGAUUUCGUAGUUCGCAGCAUCGAAGAUCCGGCUCGCCGAGUGUAGAGGGUUAUCGUUUUUCUCGCUCUUCGUACUAUUUCCUGUAACCCAGUAGCCUAGCACCUUGUUAAAUCUAUCGAACAUCUUCCGUGACGCACUUGAAUUCCGUAACACUAUAGCGAAUUGCAACUGCAGCCGUGGAGCGUAUAACCUGCAUCUCAGAAGACUCACAACAGACUCGGCUGGGUGAUAUCAUCGGGAGUAUAUUAGCUUUGUAUAGUAGGAAGGAGAGGGAGUAUAAUAGUUCUCCACGUGCACAUGGUCACGGUGUGACUACCCGGCCUAUUUUGACAAGUAUUUGAUGUUGAAUUAUGAUCUCGUGUUUUUUAGUACGAGGACUAUCUGAUCUAUAUAUAGUCCGAUGUGACCGGUAUACGAUGAUAAGCCGAGUCGCUCGCACGUGUUGGCUCAAUGCGACGUGACCGGUGACCCCGACGUUUCUGAAACUCAAAAGCUAUAUUUUUCGAAUAACUUUUGGGUGAAGAAUAGAUACAACACUUUUCUUUGCGCGAGCUCGGAUGUAGAUAUUUAAAUUCCGACAUCACUCUGUAUAUCUUUAAAAUAUUUGUAUAAAAGCUGAAAAAAUUUAAUAAUAUAAAAACUUAUUUCAAACUCACUUUAUUUCAUUAUCUUAUACACAUAGGUAUACAUUAUAGAUACAAAUAUACAAAAACAUGGAUCAGACAUCUACAAUGUUCAUGUCUGUAAAUCUGUUAUGAGCUAUGUAAUGUUUCGUCGACUUCAUUGAUAUAUAUUGCUUUAAAUUAAAGUAGAAUCAAUCACCUUAUUAAAAUAUACAUUUGAAUUUUGUUUUAAGAUUACAACUUACGAAUUUCACAAUAAUUCGGAAAACGCUACGUAAGAAACUAAAUCUAACUUGAAUUUAUAAGUGAUGUUAGUUAAAACUGUAUCCUUUUGUUGAAGAUGGAAAUUCGUGUGUAUCUUUCUGUCGCCUUGAUAGGUAGUAAGAAAAUAUACUCUACUAAUUAAUCUUAUUACAAAGAACACUAAAAUUUAAUAAAAUCGACCUUUAUUAUGAAAAUGAACGUUUUACAUAUUGCUGGUAUUUGCUGCCAGCAUCAUUGCGCAUAUGCAGUGUAAUGUGUGUAGGUGUGUUUGACAAUUACAUUUCUUAACCUAUAAUUAAUUUUAGAAUUAACAAAUGGAUCCUAUUCACAAUAAAAUGAAUGAAAAAACUGUAGCUUUCCCAAAAUUUUUACAUGUCAUAUCGAAACGAAGAAAAAACAUUGCUAACUCACAAAUCUACAAGUAAACAACUUCAAUACGCACAUUCCUUGUGAUUUAAGAGCCUUAAGUUUUCAUGACAAAACUUUUACACUUAAGCUUCAUUCGUGACAAAUUAUAUCCAAUUUAUUUAUAAACGAAUUUGAAACAUUUUUUCAGAGAAAUUAAAUCUAACUUGAAGGUGUAAACAUAUUAAAAGAAAAGAGUUAAUAACAUAAAAAAUAUUUUUGGAAGGUCUUGUUAAAAGAAAAUUUGCUACUUUACACACACUAAAAGAAGAUCAUUCUUAUGUCAUUAUAUGCGCAUUACAAGAAAAAAAAA